This 1403-nucleotide ribosomal RNA is filed under the name uncultured bacterium. RNAcentral's name for it is "16S ribosomal RNA". It matches the Rfam family "Bacterial small subunit ribosomal RNA", at positions 17 to 1395 of the family's 1533-position model. The record is from RNAcentral.
UCAUGGCUCAGGACGAAACGCUGGCGGCGUGCUUAACACAUUGCAAGUUCGAACGAUGAAGCCUAGCUUUGCUAGGUGGAUUAGUCGGCGAACGGGUGAGUAAUACGUGAGUAACCUACCUUUUAACUCUGGGAUAAGCCUGGGAAACUGGGUCUAAUACCGGAUACGACCAAUCUCCGCAUGGGGUGUUUGGUGGAAAGCGUUAUGUAGUGGUUAUAGAUGGGCUCACGGCCUAUCAGCUUGUUGGUGAGGUAACGGCUCACCAAGGCGACGACGGGUAGCCGGCCUGAGAGGGUGACCGGCCACACUGGGACUGAGACACGGCCCAGACUCCUACGGGAGGCAGCAGUGGGGAAUAUUGCACAAUGGGCGCAAGCCUGAUGCAGCGACGCCGCGUGAGGGAUGACGGCCUUCGGGUUGUAAACCUCUGUUAGCAGGGAAGAAGAGAGAUUGACGGUACCUGCAGAGAAAGCGCCGGCUAACUACGUGCCAGCAGCCGCGGUAAUACGUAGGGCGCGAGCGUUGUCCGGAAUUAUUGGGCGUAAAGAGCUUGUAGGCGGUUUGUCGCGUCUGCUGUGAAAGGCCGGAGCUUAACUCCGUGUAUUGCAGUGGGUACGGGCAGACUAGAGUGCAGUAGGGGAGACUGGAAUUCCUGGUGUAGCGGUGGAAUGCGCAGAUAUCAGGAGGAACACCGAUGGCGAAGGCAGGUCUCUGGGCUGUAACUGACGCUGAGAAAGCGAAAGCAUGGGGAGCGAACAGGAUUAGAUACCCUGGUAGUCCAUGCCGUAAACGUUGGGCACUAGGUGUGGGGAACAUUCCACGUUUUCCGCGCCGUAGCUAACGCAUUAAGUGCCCCGCCUGGGGAGUACGGCCGCAAGGCUAAAAACUCAAAAGAAAAUUGACGGGGGCCCGCACAAGCGGCGGAGCAUGCGGAUUAAUUCGAUGCAAACGCGAAGAAACCUUACCAAGGCUUGACAUAUACUGGACCGCAUUCAGAGAUGGUGUUUCCCUUCGGGGCUGGUAUACAGGUGGUGCAUGGUUGUCGUCAGCUCGUGUCGUGAGAUGUUGGGUUAAAGUCCCGCAACGAGCGCAACCCUCGUUCUAUGUUGCCAGCACGUUAUGGUGGGGACUCAUAGGAGACUGCCGGGGUCAAACUCGGAGGAAGGUGGGGAUGACGUCAAAUUCAUCAUGCCCCUUAUGUCUUGGGCUUCACGCAUGCUACGAAUGGCCGGUACAGAGGGUUGCGAUACUGUGAGGUGGAGCUAAUCCCUAAAAGCCGGUCUCGAGUUUCGGAUUGGGGUUCUGCAACUCGGACCCCGUGAAAGUUCGGAGUUCGCUAGUGAAUCGCGGGUUCAGGCAAACGCUGCGGUGNAGACGUUUCCCGGGCCUUGCGCGCACCGCCC